Molecule: unclassified non-coding RNA, 376 nt
Filed under: uncultured bacterium
Lineage: Bacteria
Description: contains 16S-23S intergenic spacer region
Source: RNAcentral
UCCGAGUUGUCCCCGGCGGUCCCCUUAGAGUCCCCGGCAUUACCCGCUGGCAACUAAGAGCAGGGGUUGCGCUCGUUGCGGCACUUAACCCAACAUCUCACGACACGAGCUGACGACAGCCAUGCACCACCUGUGCACUGGCCCCGAAGGGCUGCCGUAUUUCUACGACAUUCCAGUGCAUGUCAAGCCUUGGUAAGGUUCUUCGCGUUGCGUCGAAUUAAACAACAUGCUCCGCUGCUUGUGCGGGUCCCCGUCAAUUCCUUUGAGUUUUAACCUUGCGGCCGUACUCCCCAGGCGGUGGGCUUAAUGCGUUAGCGUCGACACUGCGGGGCAAGCCCCCCAACGUCUGGCCCACAUCGUUUAGGGCGUGGACUAC